RNAcentral lists this ribosomal RNA (497 nucleotides) under uncultured bacterium. RNAcentral describes it as "partial 16S ribosomal RNA". It matches the Rfam family "Bacterial small subunit ribosomal RNA", at positions 28 to 507 of the family's 1533-position model. The record is from RNAcentral.
GAUGAACGCUGGCGGCGUGCCUAAUACAUGCAAGUCGAGCGAACAGACGAGGAGCUUGCUCCUCUGACGUUAGCGGCGGACGGGUGAGUAACACGUGGAUAACCUACCUAUAAGACUGGGAUAACUUCGGGAAACCGGAGCUAAUACCGGAUAAUAUAUUGAACCGCAUGGUUCAAUAGUGAAAGACGGUUUUGCUGUCACUUCUAGAUGGAUCCGCGCCGCAUUAGCUAGUUGGUAAGGUAACGGCUUACCAAGGCGACGAUGCGUAGCCGACCUGAGAGGGGGAUAGGCCACAGGGGAGGGGGGACGGGGUCAAGAGGACUACGGGAGGGAGCAGUAGGGAAUGGUAGGCAGUGGGCGAAAGCAUGGCGGAGCGGGGGGGAGUGAGAGAUGGAGGUGUUGGGAGCGUAAAACUGGGUUAUGAGGGAAGAACAGAUGUGGAAGGAACUAUGGAGGGAGUGACGGUACCUGGUCAGGAAGCAACGGCUAACUACGUG